GGGUUUGUGAGGGUGUUCCGGCUGUGACAUCUGUCACCGCAUUCAUCACCAGGGUUGAUUCGGCUGAUCUGGCUGGCUGGGUGGGUGUCCCUGUCCUCCCUCACGGAUCCAUGUGCAUCCCUCACGAAGCUGCAUGUUUGGUCAAAGAGAAUGGUCACCCCCAAUGGAGGAGGACCAUUCCUCGGUCAAGGGUAUACCAGUAGCUGCGCUUCACUGCUAGAACCUCCAAAUAAACCUCUCAAAUUGUGUUCCAGUUCUCAAAAUUAAUAUAAAGGCUCUUCAAAGCAAUCCAAUAGGCUGAAAGGACACCUUCAAGGCAGUAAUCAUU
Molecule: small nuclear RNA, 328 nt
Filed under: Octodon degus (degu)
Lineage: Eukaryota; Metazoa; Chordata; Mammalia; Rodentia; Octodontidae
Description: 7SK RNA (ENSODEG00000023946.1)
Rfam family: 7SK RNA
About the family: 7SK was discovered as an abundant small nuclear RNA in the mid-70s but a possible function has only recently been suggested. Two independent studies have found that 7SK RNA binds the CDK9/cyclin T complex (known as elongation factor P-TEFb).
Source: RNAcentral